This 468-nucleotide ribosomal RNA is filed under the name uncultured bacterium. RNAcentral describes it as "partial 16S ribosomal RNA". It matches the Rfam family "Bacterial small subunit ribosomal RNA", at positions 28 to 507 of the family's 1533-position model. The record is from RNAcentral.
GACGAACGCUGGCGGCGUGCUUAACACAUGCAAGUCGAACGGAAAGGCCCUGCUUUUGUGGGGUGCUCGAGUGGCGAACGGGUGAGUAACACGUGAGUAACCUGCCCUUGACUUUGGGAUAACUUCAGGAAACUGGGGCUAAUACCGGAUAGGAGCUCCUGCUGCAUGGUGGGGGUUGGAAAGUUUCGGCGGUUGGGGAUGGACUCGCGGCUUAUCAGCUUGUUGGUGGGGUAGUGGCUUACCAAGGCUUUGACGGGUAGCCGGCCUGAGAGGGUGACCGGCCACAUUGGGACUGAGAUACGGCCCAGACUCCUACGGGAGGCAGCAGUGGGGAAUAUUGCACAAUGGGCAGAAGCCUGAUGCAGCAACGCCGCGUGCGGGAUGACGGCCUUCGGGUUGUAAACCGCUUUCGCCUGCGACGAAGCGUGAGUGACGGUAAUGGGUAAAGAAGCACCGGCUAACUACGUG